RNAcentral lists this ribosomal RNA (253 nucleotides) under uncultured bacterium. RNAcentral's name for it is "partial 16S ribosomal RNA". It matches the Rfam family "Bacterial small subunit ribosomal RNA", at positions 524 to 776 of the family's 1533-position model. The record is from RNAcentral.
UACGAAGGUCCCAAGCGUUAUCCGGAUUUAUUGGGUUUAAAGGGUGCGUAGGCGGGCUAUUAAGUCAGUGGUGAAAGCCCCAAGCUUAACUUGGGAACUGCCAUUGAUACUGAUGGUCUUGAGUACAUUUGAGGUGGGUGGAAUGUGUCAUGUAGCGGUGAAAUGCUUAGAUAUGACACAGAACACCGAUUGCGAAGGCAGCUCACUAAACUGUAACUGACGCUGAGGCACGAAAGCGUGGGGAGCAAACAGG